CCUACGGGCGGCAGCAGUGAGGAAUAUUGGUCAAUGGGCGCGAGCCUGAACCAGCCAAGUAGCGUGAAGGAUGACUGCCCUACGGGUUGUAAACUUCUUUUAUAAAGGAAUAAAGUGAGCCACGUGUGCCUUUUUGUAUGUACUUUAUGAAUAAGGAUCGGCUAACUCCGUGCCAGCAGCCGCGGUAAUACGGAGGAUCCGAGCGUUAUCCGGAUUUAUUGGGUUUAAAGGGAGCGUAGGUGGGUUGUUAAGUCAGUUGUGAAAGUUUGCGGCUCAACCGUAAAAUUGCAGUUGAUACUGGCAGCCUUGAGUACAGUAGAGGUAGGCGGAAUUCGUGGUGUAGCGGUGAAAUGCUUAGAUAUCACGAAGAACUCCGAUUGCGAAGGCAGCUUACUGGACGGCAACUGACACUGAGGCACGAAAGUGUGGGUAUCAAACAGGAUUAGAUACCCUUGUAGUC
RNAcentral lists this ribosomal RNA (460 nucleotides) under uncultured bacterium. RNAcentral describes it as "partial 16S ribosomal RNA". It matches the Rfam family "Bacterial small subunit ribosomal RNA", at positions 338 to 795 of the family's 1533-position model. The record is from RNAcentral.